CCUACGGGAGGCAGCAGUGAGGAAUAUUGGUCAAUGGGCGCGAGCCUGAACCAGCUAAGUCGCGUGUAGGAUGACUGCCCUACGGGUUGUAAACUUCUUUUAUAAAGGCAUAAAGUGAGGCACGUGUGCCUUUUUGUGUUUAUUUUAUGAUUAAAGUCCGGCUCACUCCGCGCCAGCAGCCUCGGUACUACGGAGGAUGCGAGCGUUAUUCGGAUUUAUUGGGUUUAAAGGGAGCGUAGGCGGGUUUUUAAGUCAGGUGUGAAAGUUUGGGGCUCAACCGUAAAAGUGCAAUUGAUACUGGAAGCCUAGAGUGCAGGUGAGGAAGGCGGAAUUCGUGGUGUAGCGGUGAAAUGCUUAGAUAUCAGGAAGAACUCCGAUGGCGAAGGCAGCCGACUGGUCUGCAACUGACGUUGAGGCUCGAAAGUGUGGGUAGCAAACAGGAUUAGAUACCCUAGUAGUC
Molecule: ribosomal RNA, 460 nt
Filed under: uncultured bacterium
Lineage: Bacteria
Description: partial 16S ribosomal RNA
Rfam family: Bacterial small subunit ribosomal RNA
Source: RNAcentral